AAGCAAGACCAGCACUCGAGAUGCACCUUGUGUUCCUGAUCCGAUCUACCAAGCGUCCACAUCCAUGUAUGUAGCCUACUGGGAAGUGACUGGUUUCAACAUUUCUUACACUGAUGUCCAGAUAUCUAUUGAAAGAAAAUUCCAUGGGUCAGAUGAUCUGUGGCACACUGUAGAUGGGUACACAAGUCUAGGAGUCGCUGACAAUGCAGCGUUAAGUGGACUUUCUCUUGACCCUGGACACACUUACAGGGCUGCCGUCAUGUUCUGUGUCGUGAGAGUCUGCACCAGGCCCGUGCACAGCAAUGGUGUGACUGUAG
Molecule: long non-coding RNA, 317 nt
Organism: Haliotis rubra (blacklip abalone)
Lineage: Eukaryota; Metazoa; Mollusca; Gastropoda; Lepetellida; Haliotidae
Exons: 3
Source: RefSeq, a predicted model, not a curated record